This 1059-nucleotide long non-coding RNA is filed under the name Sorghum bicolor (sorghum). Its description in RNAcentral is "long non-coding RNA (SBIC_LNC007825)". Lineage: Eukaryota; Viridiplantae; Streptophyta; Magnoliopsida; Poales; Poaceae. The record is from RNAcentral.
UCUUGUGUUGUAGCCAAGGCAUGAUGCAUACCAUUCUCUACUGUGCCUAGCACCUCACAAGGCCUCCAUCUCAUCCUCUUCUAGCAUGCACGGCAAACAAAAGAGGAAGUGUGCAGUGGACUCCACAUUUCACACUUUUGUGGACCCAUGCAUCUGAAAUGACAGCUUUCUGAGAGAUAAAUGUGUAACGUCCAAGAACUAGCUGGCAAAUUUUUUUUUUAUCAUUAGGCUUGUAACUUCUAAGCACUAACUAACAAUUUCAAUUUUUUUUGUAUUUACACUUGUAACAUCCAAGCACCAACUAACAAUUUCAAUUUUUUUUUUGUAUUUACACUUGUAACAUCAAAGCACCAACUGUCGACAUCAAAUGUUUUUGUCUUUUCUCGUGUGUCAGCUUCAGAAUAGGACAGGAAAACCAGCCUGUUUUCAUGAGGGCUGGACAACCACAUGGCCAUGCAAACUGGCCUGGCUAGUUCAAACUGAUCUGUCCGGUUCUCUGCGAGCCCGUUGCAGAAAAUCUUUCGAAAAUUGUAAUUAAUUCUUCCAAAUUCUAAAUGAGGAAACUAUAUAUAUGUGUUUUUCAAUCAACACAACCAAUGGAACACAAUGAUACAAUCCAUUCUUGCAUUUGACAAAGUUGGCCAAACCGGCCUGGGUGGUUCCGGCUAGGUCAGCCCCUUGAAAAGCUAUUUUAUUGGUCCAAGCUCUAAAUGAGAUGGUCCAAAUAUAUUUUUUGACCGAUUUUGAGUGUCAAAAAUUUGACCAGAUGAUUUGGUGAGGGAAGAAUACAUGGACUAUAUGUUACUGGCUUGAAUAGUGAAAUUAGAGAAGAAAGAGGAGACCAGAUGAUUUAAUGCAAGAAAUACUUGCAACAGAGUAUUGCAUAUAUAGUGAAUCUGCAUAGUGCUAAGUUGGCAUGAAGAAAACAUUGCACCAGAUGAUUUUGUGGUCUUCAAUAAUGACUUGACUAGAGGAUUCGUUAGAAAGGGUUACAAAGUUAGAGUUUGAGUGAGACAUGCAUUGGAUGAUCUAGGCAUGUACUAGGCUUAUGAGAGGUCA